GGUGAGUAAUGCUUGGGAAUCUGCCCAAUAGUGGGGGACAACUCGGGGAAACCCGGGCUAAUACCGCAUAAUCUCUACGGAGGAAAGAGGGCCUCUACUUGUAAGCUCUCGCUAAUGGAUGAGCCCAAGUCAGAUUAGCUAGUUGGUAGGGUAAUGGCUUACCAAGGCUACGAUCUGUAGCUGGUCUGAGAGGAUGAUCAGCCACACUGGGACUGAGACACGGCCCAGACUCCUACGGGAGGCAGCAGUGGGGAAUAUUGCACAAUGGGCGCAAGCCUGAUGCAGCAAUGCCGCGUGUGUGAAGAGGGCUCUAGGGUUGUAAAGCACUUUCAAUAGAGAAGAAAAGCUUGAAGUUAAUACCUUCAAGCCUUGACGUAACCUAUACAAGAAGCACCGGCUAAUUCCGUGCCAGCAGCCGCGGUAAUACGGGAGGUGCGAGCGUUAAUCGGAAUUACUGGGCGUAAAGCGAGCGUAGGCUGUUAAAUAAGUCGAAUGUGAAAUCCCCGGGCUUAACCUGGGAACUGCACUCGAAACUAUUUAACUAGAGUAUGGGAGAGGAA
This 560-nucleotide ribosomal RNA is filed under the name uncultured Gammaproteobacteria bacterium. RNAcentral describes it as "bacterial SSU rRNA". It matches the Rfam family "Bacterial small subunit ribosomal RNA", at positions 105 to 659 of the family's 1533-position model. The record is from RNAcentral. Lineage: Bacteria; Pseudomonadati; Pseudomonadota; Gammaproteobacteria.